This 457-nucleotide ribosomal RNA is filed under the name uncultured bacterium. RNAcentral describes it as "bacterial SSU rRNA". It matches the Rfam family "Bacterial small subunit ribosomal RNA", at positions 29 to 479 of the family's 1533-position model. The record is from RNAcentral.
AACGAACGCUGGCGGCGCGCCUAAUACAUGCAAGUCGAGCGAGAAGACGUAGCAAUACGUUUGUAAAGCGGCGAACGGGUGAGGAAUACAUGGGUAACCUACCCUCGAGUGGGGAAUAACUAGCCGAAAGGUUAGCUAAUACCGCGUACGCUCCUUGGACUUCGGUUCAGGGAGGAAAGCGAUACCGUGGGUAUCGCGCUCUUGGAUGGGCUCAUGUCCUAUCAGCUUGUUGGUGAGGAACGGCUCACCAAGGCUUCGACGGGUAGCUGGUCUGAGAGGACGAUCAGCCACACUGGCACUGCGACACGGGCCAGACUCCUACGGGAGGCAGCAGUAAGGAAUAUUGCGCAAUGGGCGAAAGCCUGACGCAGCGACGCCGCGUGGGGGAUGAAGGUCUUCGGAUUGUAAACCCCUUUCGGGAGGGAAGAUGGAACGAGCAAUCGUUCCGGACGGUACC